This is a non-coding RNA of Parasteatoda tepidariorum (common house spider), 898 nucleotides long. Lineage: Eukaryota; Metazoa; Arthropoda; Arachnida; Araneae; Theridiidae. The record is from RefSeq and is a predicted model, not a curated record.
ACAAAAUCCUGUUCCAUCCUUUGUUUCUGACACUCUGUUAGCUGAAGAUAGGUGACCUCAAUUUUUCUGUGGAUCAUAGUAUAUGAGUACUAAUAACGAAUAUUAAGGGAUAACAGGAAGGCUGGUAUUGCCAACACCUACUAGAAGGUCAAGACCUGCUGGCUCAACGAUUUCAACUCCGUGACGUCAUGAAGAGAAGGCAAUAGCGUCUGUAGCUCUAACAUAGGAACGCCAUUGACGAGAGCAGUUUACACGUGAAUGUUGCAGCAAAAUUUGAUUUUAUAUCGAAGAUUUAAAGAGAUAUCGAAGCUUCAAGCAUGAUUUAUGCUUGUUGUGUUCUCUUGUGUGGAGGGAACUAUGAUGAUAAUCACAAGGUAUUUCGUUUCCCCCAAGACACACAACUGCAGCAAUUGUGGUGUGAUUCAUUUAUGUAAAAAAUAUUUAAAAUUUGUAUUUAACUUUUAACUAAGAAUAUUUGUUUAAAUUAAUAAAGAUUUAUUAUAUGUUUAAAUUAACAAGGAUUAUCACUUUUAAAAUGCUUUCCUUAAGUAGAUUGUUUUUCAUCACCCCUUUUAAAAAUAAAUAUAUAAUUAUCAUUGUGAAUUGUAAGAUGAUUAAUAGGAUGUCUUAUAUCAAGACUUUUAAAAAUAAAUAUUUAAUUACUAACAUAAAUUGUAAAAUGAUUAAUAGGAAGGUCAUAGGAAUUUAAACCUUCAAUUUAAUCUAAUGUUUUUAAAGUUUUAAAAAUGUAUUGUAAACAAUAGUCUUUUUUUCAUGAACUUCUUGUUUACUUUCAAAACUUUUCUUAGUCUUAAUUAUUGGGUGAUGUAAUGCAACAACUUUGCAUUAUUUACAUUAUAUUUUGUGGUAUAUUUCAUCAGAAACUGCAAUUUUAAGA